Molecule: ribosomal RNA, 431 nt
Filed under: uncultured bacterium
Lineage: Bacteria
Description: partial 16S ribosomal RNA
Rfam family: Bacterial small subunit ribosomal RNA
Source: RNAcentral
AACGAACGCUGGCGGCAGGCUUAACACAUGCAAGUCGAGCGCCCCGCCAGGGGUGCGGCAGACGGGUGAGUAGCGCGUGGGAACGUACCCUUAUCUUCGGGAUAGCUCCGGGAAACUGGAAUUAAUACCGAAUGUGCCCUUUGGGGGAAAGAUUUAUCGGAUAGGGAUCGGCCCGCGUUGGAUUAGCUAGUUGGUGGGGUAAAGGCCUACCAAGGCGACGUUCCAUAGCUGGUCUGAGAGGCUGAUCAGCCACAUUGGAGCUGAGACACGGCCCAAACUCCUACGGGAGGCAGCAGUGGGGAGUAUUGGGGGAUGGGGGCAAGCCUAAUCCAGCCAUGCCGGGUGAGAGAUGAAGGCCUUAGUGUUGUAAAGCUCUUUCACCGGAGAAGAUAAUGACGGUAACCGGAGAAGAAGCCCCGGCUAACUUCGUG